Podarcis lilfordi (Lilford's wall lizard) is the source of this 71-nucleotide non-coding RNA. NCBI's taxonomy places the organism in Eukaryota, Metazoa, Chordata, Lepidosauria, Squamata, Lacertidae. The record is from the annotation of a GenBank genome assembly.
GGGCUGUAGUUCAGGAGCAGAGCAUCUGCUUUGCAUGCAGAAGGUCCCAGGUUCAAUCCCUGACAGCAUCU